RNAcentral lists this long non-coding RNA (1427 nucleotides) under Strigops habroptila (Kakapo). Its description in RNAcentral is "lncRNA (ENSSHBG00005017447.1)". Lineage: Eukaryota; Metazoa; Chordata; Aves; Psittaciformes; Psittacidae. The record is from RNAcentral.
UUUUUUUUUUUCUUUUUUUUUUUUUUUUCCCUUUUCCUGCUGGUGAAUUUUCUAUAAGCUAAAUUUACAAUGGCAUUUUGAGAUGUUUCCUUUUCUCCUGUUCUCCUCCUAUAGAGCUCAGAGGCCAAAAUGAUUGGAAUGGAAAACUGUGGUUGCUGUUACAAUGUUUAUUCUAAGAAUCUUAUUUUACUAAGUAUAACCAAAAAUCAAAUAAAACUGGUACUUAUCUGGCUGGCAGCCAUUAAAUUAUUGUCUUUUAUCCUCUUAAAAAGAGGUAAAUCUGGGUAUAUGUGAUUACUAUCUAGGUAGCAUCUCACUAACUGCCAGCUUUUCAGAGCUGGCUGAAUGAAACAAAAUUGUGAGGAAAAGUAUAGGGAGGGAUCCUAUUCUGAGGUGAGGAAAUUAUGUAAAUCAUUCUACUUGGCCCAUCUAAACUUUAUAGAAAAGUUUAGAAGGGAUUUCUCACUUAUCUAUCACAUUUGGGAUACGCUGAGAAAUUGCUCGCUAUUCUUUGCCAAGCAUAACUGUCUCCACAGAAGCAGAAGGAAAUAUAUCUACCCUUCUGGCUGAACAGAAGUGAACUUCUAAUCUCUUUGGCUUUUCCUGACCAGUAUUAGGAAUUAGCAUGUUAAGUCAGCCAAGAAAAAUCAAUACAGGAGCAAGAAUACGAAUAUAUUUAGGCAUCCUGGGCAGAAAGCAGAUGGUAGACAACAUCCCUAGCACAUAAAGCAAGUAAUAAUGAUUACACAGCAACACUGUCCAGUCCAAAGACGGACUUGAAAGUCUGUCCUUGAACUGAGUACUAACCCAUGGUUGCCAGAUCAGGUCUCCCCACUGCACAACCAUGAUGUUUCAGCACUGUAUACAAUUAGCAUCAGUCCCUUUUGUCCUGCUGCCCCUCUAACUGCAAAAAUAAACUCUUGCCCACAGCAUGCCUUAACUUUUUGAGUAGUGUCUAUGUUGUCCCUGUUUAAAACUGUCACAGUGCACAACAGUACAUUUUUUAGGCAGAACCGAGAUACAAGUAUCCAAUGUCCCUUCUCCUUUCUGGAUGGUCCAUGAAAAAUUAAGGUGGGAGUUUCAUCAGCACAGUGGCAAUUAGGUGCAAAACUUACUUUGGCUAUCACUCUGAGUUUAACACCUGAACGCAAACUGUACUCUGGAAAAUCUUCAUCUCCUGCUGCGUUAUCCUAUGGGACAGCAGCCCCGAAGUGACAACUGAGAGGCAGCCCACUUGGCAGAACAUGCCUCGCGAUGGCUCCCUCUGUACAGAGUGCUAACAGAAACAUUGUUCAUGUUCUGCAAUCUGAUUAAUGACAGGCAUCACCAAAAUCCUCUGGUUUUGAGCCAGCUAACUUAUUCUGUGGUCCCAUUUGAGAUACAUUUUAGAUCUCAAACCACCACUCCUUAGUAGAAGUACAACACCC